GCACUGCCUUUGAGCAAGCGCAAUGCCCUCUGAUGGCUUCACCAACUAAGCAGUGGUGUGAGAGGAAAAGCUUGUUCAUAAUCGGUGCUGCUUGGCUAAAACCUAAGCUCUACUUUUAAGUGCGAGCAACAGGC
Pelodiscus sinensis (Chinese soft-shelled turtle) is the source of this 134-nucleotide small nucleolar RNA. NCBI's taxonomy places the organism in Eukaryota, Metazoa, Chordata, Testudines, Trionychidae. The record is from Rfam.